This 301-nucleotide ribosomal RNA is filed under the name uncultured bacterium. Its description in RNAcentral is "partial 16S ribosomal RNA". It matches the Rfam family "Bacterial small subunit ribosomal RNA", at positions 509 to 808 of the family's 1533-position model. The record is from RNAcentral.
CAGUCGCCGCGGUAAUACGCAGGGUGCGAGCGUUAAUCGGAAUUACUGGGCGUAAAGCGUGCGCAGGCGGUUGUGUAAGACAGGUGUGAAAUCCCCGGGCUUAACCUGGGAACUGCGCUUGUGACUGCACAGCUAGAGUAUGGCAGAGGGGGUGGAAUUCCACGUGUAGCAGUGAAAUGCGUAGAGAUGUGGAGGAACACCGAUGGCGAAGGCAGCCCCCUGGGCCAAUACUGACGCUCAUGCACGAAAGCGUGGGGAGCAAACAGGAUUAGAUACCCCCGUAGUCCCUGUCUCUUAUACC